This 421-nucleotide ribosomal RNA is filed under the name uncultured bacterium. RNAcentral describes it as "partial 16S ribosomal RNA". It matches the Rfam family "Bacterial small subunit ribosomal RNA", at positions 360 to 773 of the family's 1533-position model. The record is from RNAcentral.
AAUUUUGGACAAUGGGGGAAACCCUGAUCCAGCCAUCCCGCGUGUAUGAUGAAGGCCUUCGGGUUGUAAAGUACUUUUGGCAGAGAAGAAAAGGUACCUCCUAAUACGAGGUACUGCUGACGGUAUCUGCAGAAUAAGCACGGGCUAACUACGUGCCAGCAGCCGCGGUAAUACGUAGGGUGCAAGCGUUAGUCGGAAUUACUGGGCGUAAGGCGUAUGUAGGCGGUUCGGAAAGAAAGAGGUGAAAUCCCAGGGCUCAACCUUGGAACUGCAUUUUUAACUGCCGAGCUAGGGUAAGUCAGAGGGGGGUAGAAUUCCACGUGUAGCAGUGAAAUGCGUAGAUAUGUGGAGGAAUACCGAUGGCGAAGGCAGCCCCCUGGGACAAUACUGACGCUCAGACACGAAAGCGUGGGGAGCAAAC